Long non-coding RNA from Paramisgurnus dabryanus, 343 nucleotides. RefSeq lists it as uncharacterized. Lineage: Eukaryota; Metazoa; Chordata; Actinopteri; Cypriniformes; Cobitidae. The record is from RefSeq and is a predicted model, not a curated record.
CAUGAACAGCUUUAGGGCUGGAAAAUGGGAAACUGAGGAAUAUGGCCCUGAUAAUCCUUUUAAAAUGGGAGAGCCUAUUCAACUGUUUAUUGUUACCAAAUCUGAUGGUUAUGAGUUAUACGUUAAUGGAAGACAAUUUUACACGUUCAAGCAUCGUAUCCCGCUGGACAAAGUCACAGCGUUGAAUAUUGCUGGAAACGUUAAUGUGAACAUUAUUGGCUUCAUAGAAAACUGGAGCACAUUUUCAUUAUCUCCACAAUUCACAACAAUAACCGGUGGGACCAGCAGCUUGAGUCCUCCUACCAUAAUACAAUCAGAGCUCUUACUUCCACCACAAAAUUCU